RNAcentral lists this ribosomal RNA (460 nucleotides) under uncultured bacterium. RNAcentral describes it as "partial 16S ribosomal RNA". It matches the Rfam family "Bacterial small subunit ribosomal RNA", at positions 338 to 795 of the family's 1533-position model. The record is from RNAcentral.
CCUACGGGAGGCAGCAGUGAGGAAUAUUGGUCAAUGGACGAGAGUCUGAACCAGCCAAGUAGCGUGAAGGAUGACUGCCCUAUGGGUUGUAAACUUCUUUUAUAUGGGAAUAAAAUGUUCCACGUGUGGGAUUUUGUAUGUACCAUAUGAAUAAGGAUCGGCUAACUCCGUGGCAGCAGCCGCGGUAAUACGGAGGAUCCGAGCGUUAUCCGGAUUUAUUGGGUUUAAAGGGAGCGUAGGUGGAUUGUUAAGUCAGUUGUGAAAGUUUGCGGCUCAACCGUAAAAUUGCAGUUGAAACUGGCAGUCUUGAGUACAGUAGAGGUGGGCGGAAUUCGUGGUGUAGCGGUGAAAUGCUUAGAUAUCACGAAGAACUCCGAUUGCGAAGGCAGCUCACUGGACUGCAACUGACACUGAGGCUCGAAAGUGUGGGUAUCAAACAGGAUUAGAUACCCGAGUAGUC